Molecule: ribosomal RNA, 433 nt
Filed under: uncultured bacterium
Lineage: Bacteria
Description: partial 16S ribosomal RNA
Rfam family: Bacterial small subunit ribosomal RNA
Source: RNAcentral
AACGAACGCUGGCGGCAUGCCUAACACAUGCAAGUCGAACGGAGGCUUCGGCCUUAGUGGCGCACGGGUGCGUAACGCGUGGGAAUCUGCCCUUUGGUUCGGAAUAACAGCUGGAAACGGCUGCUAAUACCGGAUGAUGACGAAAGUCCAAAGAUUUAUCGCCAGAGGAUGAGCCCGCGUUGGAUUAGGUAGUUGGUGGGGUAAAGGCCUACCAAGCCGACGAUCCAUAGCUGGUCUGAGAGGAUGAUCAGCCACACUGGGACUGAGACACGGCCCAGACUCCUACGGGAGGCAGCAGUGGGGAAUAUUGGACAAUGGGCGCAAGCCUGAUCCAGCAAUGCCGCGUGAGUGAUGAAGGUCCUAGGGUUGUAAAGCUCUUUUACCCGGGAAGAUAAUGACUGUACCGGGAGAAUAAGCCCCGGCUAACUCCGUG